This 460-nucleotide long non-coding RNA is filed under the name Olea europaea subsp. europaea. Lineage: Eukaryota; Viridiplantae; Streptophyta; Magnoliopsida; Lamiales; Oleaceae. The record is from RNAcentral.
CCUUGGGUUUAUAAGUUCUUCUCUUCUUUUUCUUUGAAGAUGAUUCACCAUCAAUAUCUCAUUUCCUCUUCAAAUCAAUUUCUCUAACCAUUGUAGAAAUAGGAGUCAGAUUUCGGAGUGAAAAAGUUAAAAUCGGAACAGCUAGGGUUUCUGCUAUUUGUGAAUUAGGGUUUUUGUAGUAAUAUCAACGAAUAGAAGAAGGAGAAGGCGAAAAAAGGACGGGCACGACAUGAAAUCGGCAAUUUGGAUCCAAAAAGCUUAGGGCUUCUGCUAUUGCGAUCCACGCAAACUGGUGUUUAUGGUACACCACGAAUAGGAGAAUGAGGAGACAAUGGAUGAAGACAAAAGCAGCGGUAACGGACGGAGGUGAAAACUGCAGAAAAUGGCAUGAGAAAAAUCGCGAAGGAGAGCAGAGAGAGGCAGGGCGUUUUUAUGUCUUUUUGUACUAAUUGAAGAUUGG